AUUGAACGCUGGCGGCAGGCCUAACACAUGCCAGUCGAGCGGAUGAAGGGAGCUUGCUCCUGGAUUCAGCGGCGGACGGGUGAGUAAUGCCUAGGAAUCUGCCUGGUAGUGGGGGAUAACGUCCGGAAACGGGCGCUAAUACCGCAUACGUCCUGAGGGAGAAAGUGGGGGAUCUUCGGACCUCACGCUAUCAGAUGAGCCUAGGUCGGAUUAGCUAGUUGGUGGGGUAAAGGCCUACCAAGGCGACGAUCCGUAACUGGUCUGAGAGGAUGAUCAGUCACACUGGAACUGAGACACGGUCCAGACUCCUACGGGAGGCAGCAGUGGGGAAUAUUGGACAAUGGGCGAAAGCCUGAUCCAGCCAUGCCGCGUGUGUGAAGAAGGUCUUCGGAUUGUAAAGCACUUUAAGUUGGGAGGAAGGGCAGUAAGUUAAUACCUUGCUGUUUUGACGUUACCAACAGAAUAAGCACCGGCUAACUUUGUG
Molecule: ribosomal RNA, 484 nt
Filed under: uncultured bacterium
Lineage: Bacteria
Description: partial 16S ribosomal RNA
Rfam family: Bacterial small subunit ribosomal RNA
Source: RNAcentral